Lutra lutra (Eurasian river otter) is the source of this 378-nucleotide long non-coding RNA. RefSeq lists it as uncharacterized. The transcript is spliced from 3 exons. The record is from RefSeq and is a predicted model, not a curated record. NCBI's taxonomy places the organism in Eukaryota, Metazoa, Chordata, Mammalia, Carnivora, Mustelidae.
CUGUGCUUGUGAGUGUGACCGUGGCAGAGGGGAGAAUGGGCCACAGAGUUCAGAAAGAUGGGGCGUGGUUCAGCCCACCAGUGACACAGCAGCAAACUUAAUACCCAUCUUUGCUGCGAGGUCAAAACAAACAGCAAGAUGGAGAAAUGAGGGCCCAUCAGGAGUAGACAACAAGCUGAAACACCUAAUGGACCGGUGUGACGCUGAGAAGAGGCCUUGAGCCCUUGCUGGGAGCCUCAGGGCUCUGUCUGUGUUUUUCAAGGUUGGAAUGAGAGCUGUAGAGAAGACACAACCGUUUUCCUCUGCUGCCUUUCUCCCGCUCCUCAUUCUUCCUCAAUUUGUGUCUUUUUCCUGUGGAUAUAAACUAAAGAUGAAAAU